This 253-nucleotide ribosomal RNA is filed under the name uncultured bacterium. Its description in RNAcentral is "partial 16S ribosomal RNA". It matches the Rfam family "Bacterial small subunit ribosomal RNA", at positions 524 to 776 of the family's 1533-position model. The record is from RNAcentral.
UACGGAGGGGGCCAGCGUUGUUCGGAAUCAUUGGGCGUAAAGGGCGCGUAGGCGGCUUUGUAAGUCCGUUGUGAAAUCCCUCGGCUCAACCGAGGAACUGCGACGGAUACUGCUUGGCUUGAGUCCCGGAGAGGGUAGCGGAAUUCCCAGUGUAGCGGUGAAAUGCGUAGAUAUUGGGAGGAACAUCGGUGGCGAAGGCGGCUACCUGGACGGGUACUGACGCUGAGGCGCGAAAGCUAGGGGAGCAAACAGG